This 481-nucleotide ribosomal RNA is filed under the name uncultured soil bacterium. RNAcentral's name for it is "bacterial SSU rRNA". It matches the Rfam family "Bacterial small subunit ribosomal RNA", at positions 26 to 506 of the family's 1533-position model. The record is from RNAcentral.
AGAUUGAACGCUGGCGGCAUGCCUUACACAUGCAAGUCGAACGGCAGCACGGGAGCAAUCCUGGUGGCGAGUGGCGAACGGGUGAGUAAUAUAUCGGAACGUGCCCAGUCGUGGGGGAUAACGCAGCGAAAGCUGUGCUAAUACCGCAUACGAUCUCUGGAUGAAAGCGGGGGACUCGCAAGGGCCUCGCGCGAUUGGAGCGGCCGAUAUCAGAUUAGCUAGUUGGUGGGUAAAGGCCCACCAAGGCGACGAUCUGUAGCUGGUCUGAGAGGACGACCAGCCACACUGGAACUGAGACACGGUCCAGACUCCUACGGGAGGCAGCAGUGGGGAAUUUUGGACAAUGGGCGCAAGCCUGAUCCAGCAAUGCCGCGUGCAGGAUGAAGGCCUUGGUUGUAAACUGCUUUUGACGGUACGAAACGUCCUUCUAGUACAAGGGCUAAGUGACGGUACCGUAAGAAUAAGCACCGGCUAACUACGU